UGCGUAGGCGGUUACUUAAGUAGGGUGUGAAAUGUCCCGGCUCAACCGGGGAAUGGCGCUCUAAACCAGGUGGCUUGAGUGAGAUAGAGGUGUGCGGAACUUCCGGUGGAGCGGUGAAAUGUGUUGAUAUCGGAGGGAGCACCAUUGGCGAAAGCGGCACACUGGGUCUCAACUGACGCUGAGGCACGAAAGCCAGGGGAAGGCAAACG
RNAcentral lists this ribosomal RNA (209 nucleotides) under uncultured bacterium. RNAcentral describes it as "partial 16S ribosomal RNA". It matches the Rfam family "Bacterial small subunit ribosomal RNA", at positions 568 to 774 of the family's 1533-position model. The record is from RNAcentral.